Molecule: ribosomal RNA, 406 nt
Filed under: uncultured bacterium
Lineage: Bacteria
Description: partial 16S ribosomal RNA
Rfam family: Bacterial small subunit ribosomal RNA
Source: RNAcentral
AUUGAACGCUGGCGGCAGGCCUAACACAGGCAAGUCGAACGAGUGGCGGACGGGUGAGUCAUGUCUGGGAAACUGCCUGCUGGAUGGGGAUAACUACUGGAAACGGUAGCUAAUACCGCAUACCAUCAGAUGUGCCCAGAUGGGAUUAGCUAGUUGGGGGGGUAACGGCUCACAAAGGCGACGAUCCCUAGCUUGUCUGAGAGGAUGACAAGCCACACUGGACCGUAGACACGGACCGUACUCCUACGGGAGGCAGCAGUGGGGAAUAUUGCACAAUGGGCGCAAGACUGAUGCAGCCAUGCCGCGUGUAUUAAGAAGGCCUUCGGGUUGUAAAGUACUUUCAGCGGGGAGGCGUUACCCGCAGAAGAAGCACCGGCUAACUCCGUGCCAGCAGCCGCGGUAAUUC